GUGGGCAUCUUACCGGACAGUGCUGGAUUCCUCAGCUCAACUCUAACACUGUCUGGUAACGAUGUUCAA
RNAcentral lists this microRNA precursor (69 nucleotides) under Camelus bactrianus (Bactrian camel). Its description in RNAcentral is "mir-8/mir-141/mir-200 microRNA precursor family". It matches the Rfam family "mir-8/mir-141/mir-200 microRNA precursor family". From Rfam's summary of the family: The bounds of the precursors are predicted based on conservation and base pairing and are not generally known. The record is from Rfam by way of RNAcentral. RNAcentral also lists the same sequence under 3 other names. Lineage: Eukaryota; Metazoa; Chordata; Mammalia; Artiodactyla; Camelidae.